GCAUUGGUAGUUCAGUGGCAGAAUUCUCACCUUCCAUGCUGGUGAUCCAGGUUUGAUUCCUGACCAAUGCA
RNAcentral lists this transfer RNA (71 nucleotides) under Loxodonta africana (African savanna elephant). It matches the Rfam family "tRNA". Rfam says of the family: Transfer RNA (tRNA) molecules are approximately 80 nucleotides in length. Their secondary structure includes four short double-helical elements and three loops (D, anti-codon, and T loops). Further hydrogen bonds mediate the characteristic L-shaped molecular structure. tRNAs have two regions of fundamental functional importance: the anti-codon, which is responsible for specific mRNA codon recognition, and the 3' end, to which the tRNAs corresponding amino acid is attached (by aminoacyl-tRNA synthetases). tRNAs cope with the degeneracy of the genetic code in two manners: having more than one tRNA (with a specific anti-codon) for a particular amino acid; and 'wobble' base-pairing, i.e. permitting non-standard base-pairing at the 3rd anti-codon position. The record is from Rfam by way of RNAcentral. Lineage: Eukaryota; Metazoa; Chordata; Mammalia; Proboscidea; Elephantidae.